RNAcentral lists this ribosomal RNA (484 nucleotides) under uncultured bacterium. RNAcentral's name for it is "partial 16S ribosomal RNA". It matches the Rfam family "Bacterial small subunit ribosomal RNA", at positions 30 to 507 of the family's 1533-position model. The record is from RNAcentral.
AUUGAACGCUGGCGGCAGGCCUAACACAUGCAAGUCGAGCGGAUGAAGGGAGCUUGCUCCUGGAUUUAGCGGCGGACGGGUGAGUAAUGCCUAGGAAUCUGCCUGGUAGUGUGGGAUAACGUCCGGAAACGGGCGCUAAUACCGCAUACGUCCUGAGGGAGAAAGUGUGGGAUCUUCGGACCUCACGCUAUCAGAUGAGCCUAUGUCGGAUUAGCUAGUUGGUGGGGUAAAGGCCUACCAAGGCGACGAUCCGUAGCUGGUCUGAGAGGAUGAUCAGUCACACUGGAACUGAGACACGGUCCAGACUCCUACGGGAGGCAGCAGUGGGGAAUAUUGGACAAUGGGCGCAAGCCUGAUCCAGCCAUGCCGCGUGUGUGAAGAAGGUCUUCGGAUUGUAAAGCACUUUUGGUGGGGAGGAAAAGCAGUAAGUUAAUACCUUGCUGUUCUGACGUUACCAAAAGAAUAAGCACCGGCUAACUUCGUG